ACAUUGGUGGUUCGGUGGUAGAGCUCUCACCUUCCAUGCAAGGGACCUAGGUUAUAUUCCCAGCCAAUGUA
RNAcentral lists this transfer RNA (71 nucleotides) under Loxodonta africana (African savanna elephant). It matches the Rfam family "tRNA". From Rfam's summary of the family: Transfer RNA (tRNA) molecules are approximately 80 nucleotides in length. Their secondary structure includes four short double-helical elements and three loops (D, anti-codon, and T loops). Further hydrogen bonds mediate the characteristic L-shaped molecular structure. tRNAs have two regions of fundamental functional importance: the anti-codon, which is responsible for specific mRNA codon recognition, and the 3' end, to which the tRNAs corresponding amino acid is attached (by aminoacyl-tRNA synthetases). tRNAs cope with the degeneracy of the genetic code in two manners: having more than one tRNA (with a specific anti-codon) for a particular amino acid; and 'wobble' base-pairing, i.e. permitting non-standard base-pairing at the 3rd anti-codon position. The record is from Rfam by way of RNAcentral. Lineage: Eukaryota; Metazoa; Chordata; Mammalia; Proboscidea; Elephantidae.